GAUGUAGCUAUUAAAAAAAAAAUGAUCCCAGUCUUCCACAGAGAUUUACAUCUAGGUGUUAUAAUCUUUAUAGGCCCCUUGGCUUCUUGACAUCUAUCUUGUUGAUUUUUGUCUCACUUUCUUUCACUUUCCUCAUACUCCUUUCCACAUGAUUCGUAGAAACUCCAGUUAAUUUCCUUGAAUUUCUAUGAGUAAAUCUAGCUUUUUAUCCUCUGGUAUUAAUUCCAAUUACAUUGUAGUACUCUAAUGAAGAAAAGUGACCAUUCUCUAACUAAUUUCACUAAGAACUUGAAGAUAUAUUGGCCUGCAAUUCUCUCCCACCUACUUCCUUUAGUUGAAGCCAUCUUCAUUAAGACAGCUGUAGUUUUAGAUAGGAUUUUAAUAUAUUACUAUUAUGCAUUUUAUUACCAUUUCUAUUGGCUAAAAUGUUUUGAUAAUUUUCCUAUAUGUUCCUUUGCAUAAUUUAAAAAUGGCUUUAUAACUUCUAAGUCCUACUAUUUUGUAUAAC
Molecule: long non-coding RNA, 508 nt
Filed under: Bos taurus (domestic cattle)
Lineage: Eukaryota; Metazoa; Chordata; Mammalia; Artiodactyla; Bovidae
Description: long non-coding RNA NONBTAT006656
Source: RNAcentral